RNAcentral lists this transfer RNA (74 nucleotides) under Ovis aries (sheep). It matches the Rfam family "tRNA". From Rfam's summary of the family: Transfer RNA (tRNA) molecules are approximately 80 nucleotides in length. Lineage: Eukaryota; Metazoa; Chordata; Mammalia; Artiodactyla; Bovidae. The record is from Rfam by way of RNAcentral.
UCCCUGGUGGUCCAGUGGCUAAGACUCUGUUCUCCCAGUGCAGGGGGCCCCAGGUUCAAUUCCUGGUCAGGGAA